AUUGAACGCUGGCGGCAUGCCUUACACAUGCAAGUCGAACGGCAGCACGGGAGCAAUCCUGGUGGCGAGUGGCGAACGGGUGAGUAAUACAUCGGAACGUGCCCAAUCGUGGGGGAUAACGCAGCGAAAGCUGUGCUAAUACCGCAUACGAUCUACGGAUGAAAGCAGGGGAUCGCAAGACCUUGCGCGAAUGGAGCGGCCGAUGGCAGAUUAGGUAGUUGGUGAGGUAAAGGCUCACCAAGCCGUCGAUCUGUAGCUGGUCUGAGAGGACGACCAGCCACACUGGGACUGAGACACGGCCCAGACUCCUACGGGAGGCAGCAGUGGGGGAAUUUUGGACAAUGGGCGAAAGCCUGAUCCAUCCAUGCCGCGCCGCAGGGGCAUC
This 385-nucleotide ribosomal RNA is filed under the name uncultured Comamonadaceae bacterium. RNAcentral's name for it is "bacterial SSU rRNA". It matches the Rfam family "Bacterial small subunit ribosomal RNA", at positions 29 to 414 of the family's 1533-position model. Lineage: Bacteria; Pseudomonadati; Pseudomonadota; Betaproteobacteria; Burkholderiales; Comamonadaceae. The record is from RNAcentral.